UACGUAGGUGGCAAGCGUUAUCCGGAAUUAUUGGGCGUAAAGCGCGCGUAGGCGGUUUUUUAAGUCUGAUGUGAAAGCCCACGGCUCAACCGUGGAGGGUCAUUGGAAACUGGAAAACUUGAGUGCAGAAGAGGAAAGUGGAAUUCCAUGUGUAGCGGUGAAAUGCGCAGAGAUAUGGAGGAACACCAGUGGCGAAGGCGACUUUCUGGUCUGUAACUGACGCUGAUGUGCGAAAGCGUGGGGAUCAAACAGGAUUAGA
This 259-nucleotide ribosomal RNA is filed under the name uncultured Staphylococcus sp. Its description in RNAcentral is "partial 16S ribosomal RNA". It matches the Rfam family "Bacterial small subunit ribosomal RNA", at positions 524 to 782 of the family's 1533-position model. The record is from RNAcentral. Lineage: Bacteria; Bacillati; Bacillota; Bacilli; Caryophanales; Staphylococcaceae.